Hippocampus zosterae (dwarf seahorse) is the source of this 2292-nucleotide long non-coding RNA. RefSeq lists it as uncharacterized. NCBI's taxonomy places the organism in Eukaryota, Metazoa, Chordata, Actinopteri, Syngnathiformes, Syngnathidae. The transcript is spliced from 3 exons. The record is from RefSeq and is a predicted model, not a curated record.
GUUGCCUUACUCCCACAAGUGGUAACAGAAUACACAUUCAUUCGGGAGCUGCUAUGGGCCACAGCUCACACGGGUGUUCACACGGCAAGAUUUGGUCCGGUGCUACGCCGGGGCUGCCCCAGUACAGCGUUCACACGUGCAAAUUAGCUCCGGCGUAGCCGCGGAAAACAGCUUACUCCGGACCAAAUUUGAUCCACCUCAGGGAGGUAGUUUAAAAAUUUGCUCCAGAGCAAAUGCUCAUUUGCGAAGCAGCACCGAUGUAAAUUUGCACGUGUAAACGCAACUGGGUUAAAUUUGCUCCAGAGCAAAUGCUUGUGAAGAGUUGAUUAACGACGGCGAGAAUGCGUUGCUAAGACGUUUUAUUUUCAGUGUUUUCGCGAGGUCGCUACCACUGCACCACUGAACUCUCGACUUGCCUCAGUGCACCGUCACUGUCAGACGAACACAGAGACUCUCCACCUGCUCUAUUUAUAUGGACACGGAACACUGUAACCUUCCACACAAAAUAGUUCCAAACAAGUAACAAUCGCGUCAGUGGCAUACAUCGUAUACCUGUAUGAUACAGGUAACUUUGGUCUUGUCAGUGGAGCAAUCUGGCAACUUUUUAAAAGUAAACUUUCCAUUCAUAAACUCUUUAAGUAUCCAUUUUCGGUUUCUCGCGCUGCCAUGGCUGGCAAAACAAAGUGCAUGGACCUAUGCAGCGCACUUGUUGUUUUGUUUCUGGUUUAUUUAUAGAGCAACAUAACAUCCACUGUGACGUGUUCCGCGUUAAUCUCGCGAGAAAAAAAAUUAAUCCAGUUGAAAUACAUUUAAAUUAAUGCCAAUAAAAAUGCGCUAAACUGACAGCUCAAGAAUAAAUAUAAAUAUAAGCAUAUUAAAAAUAGGUGAGUGGGGGUGAGUCCAGGUUUUAGGGAGCAUCUAUUCAAUAGCAUGACGGCAGUCGGCUGGGACAAGCGGCAGUACCUCUCCUUCUCGCAACGCGGGUGUAUCAGUCUCUGGCUGAAGGAGCUGCCGAGUGCUGUCAGGGUGGCCUGGAGAGGGUCAGAGGGUCUGCACAUCAUAGCUGUUAGCUUAGCUAGCAUCCCCCUGUCGCCAACCUCCUCCAGAGUGUCCAGGGAGCAGCCCAGGACAGAGCAGGCCCUCCUGAGCAAUCGGUCCAGUCUCUCUCUGACCUGCACUGAGAUGCUGCCUGACCAGCAGACUUUGUCAUAAUGAAUGUCAGAGGCCACCACAGAGUCAAUGCUCUACAGGAGUGACCCCUGAACUCGAACAGACCUCAGUUUUCUUAAAGUGACUGAUGUGGCAAAAGGAUCUUGUGUUUAGCAAACAAAGGCCACAAAUAUUCGAGGAAGUCGAGAAACUUUUGCUUAUUUUCAGAAAUGAGAAACAGGGGCAGUCUGAGCCAAGAUAUGAAUUGUGGCAAAGCAAGUCAAUUGUAUGGAGAUUUGAUAAAAAAGGUUAGGAUAAAAGAGUUGGAUUUUAAAGCAAGCAGAGGAUGAUUUGAAAAGUUUAGAAAAAGAAGUGUUUCGUCAUGGGGAGGCAGCCAGUUCAGACGAGGAAGCUGUCGAAAAGUUUAGUUGAGUUUGAAAAUCUCAUCAAGGCCAAGGAAUAUUUUCCCCAGCAAACUUUUAAUAUGGAUGAGACUGUGUGGAUAAAGUGGUUCAGAAAAUGGAUGGAGGGAUGUUACCUCGCACCGUAGCGCAGGGUUGCAGAGAGAGAGUCCAUAGUUACAGCCAUUACUUUAGUCUUUAUUAGUUCAAGGUGUAAAAUAAUGUAAUCUACAAUUAUCACGAUGAGAGAGAGAGAAAGAUGUUACCGUAUUUUCGUGACUAUAAGGCGCCAUUAAAAGUCUUAAAUUUUCUCCAUAAUGGACAGGAUGGCUUAUAAUGCGGAGCGCCUAGUGUAUGCGCCGAGUUCCAAAGCCUGACUGAGAGCACUUCUGGCCGACCCGCUGUUUAUACUGAGAAAAGGCGACAGGCAUGCAGAAGUCCGCCAAUGAGUGAAGGGUGGGCGUGUACGAGGGCGCUAAAGGCGCGUCCCUAGCAGGUACCAGUCGCCAAUGAGUGAAGGGUGGGCGUGUAAGAGGACGCUAAAGGCACGUCCCGAGCAGGUACGAGUCGCCAAUGAGUGAAGGGUGGGCGUGUAAGAGGACGCUCAAGGCACGUUCCUAGCAGGUACCAGUCGCCAAUGAGUGAAGGGUGGGCGUGUAAGAGGACGCUAAAGGCACGUCCCUAGCAGGUACCAGUCGCCAAUGAGUGAAGGGUGGGCGUGUAAGAGGAUGCUAAAGGCACG